UACGUAGGGUGCAAGCGUUGUCCGGAAUUAUUGGGCGUAAAGAGCUCGUAGGCGGUCUGUUGCGUCGGCUGUGAAAACCCGGGGCUCAACUCCGGGCCUGCAGCCGAUACGGGCAGACUAGAGUUCGGCAGGGGAGACUGGAAUUCCUGGUGUAGCGGUGAAAUGCGCAGAUAUCAGGAGGAACACCGGUGGCGAAGGCGGGUCUCUGGGCCGGUACUGACGCUGAGGAGCGAAAGCGUGGGGAGCGAACAGG
RNAcentral lists this ribosomal RNA (253 nucleotides) under uncultured bacterium. Its description in RNAcentral is "partial 16S ribosomal RNA". It matches the Rfam family "Bacterial small subunit ribosomal RNA", at positions 524 to 776 of the family's 1533-position model. The record is from RNAcentral.